RNAcentral lists this transfer RNA (73 nucleotides) under Felis catus (domestic cat). It matches the Rfam family "tRNA". From Rfam's summary of the family: Transfer RNA (tRNA) molecules are approximately 80 nucleotides in length. Their secondary structure includes four short double-helical elements and three loops (D, anti-codon, and T loops). The record is from Rfam by way of RNAcentral. Lineage: Eukaryota; Metazoa; Chordata; Mammalia; Carnivora; Felidae.
GCCUGGCUGGCUCAGUCAGUAGAACAUGCAACUCUUGAUCUUGGGGUCGUGAGUUCAAACCUCAUGCUGGGCA